UUAAUUUUCCCAGCUAACCCCUAAUCAUCUUCUUCUUGUCCAUUCUCAACCAAACGAGUUGAACCAAGAAAUGACCAGCAGUUCUCCAUCAAUGAAGAACCCACAAAUCCGCACCUUUUGUUCCUUUUAUUUGGAGGAUAAUCCCUGAAAUCACUGCCAUAGUCAUCCAUUUCCAUCGCUUUCAACUUUACGUCGCUUCACAUCCCUUUUUCAUUGAAGUCUGAAAGCUACAUCGAGCUGGAAUCCUCUCCUGAAAAGCUUCUAAAAAGGGAGGGAUAUGGGUGUUCAAUUGUUUCUGAAGAAUUUUUACAUUGAUUCAGCAGUCAAAGAGCUUAUCCUUCUUGAAGAACUCAAGCCGUCAAUAUCAAAUUGCCAACCAAGUCUCAAUCUUUCAAAUCCCAUCUCAGAAAAUGAUUUUCCUUCAUCAAAAUGUCACUUCUUUAAUUCAAAUUUGAAUUCUCAAGGCUUUCUCCAAGAAGCCGUUUUAAUUUUCCGUAUAAAAGGGGGUUCUUUUUCACCUCUCGAAAGAUGGUUCAAAGGUUAAAAAUUGAGGAAUUUUGAGUCCCUUACUGAUUUCACUCCUAAGUUUUCUUACUCUAUUUUAAUUUCUAGUCACCGUUCCUCCCGUCUCGUCGCUUUUCAUAGCUCUUACUCGAGGUUGGUGAGAAAAUCAUUCAUCGACUCGUGGUUUGGAUUCACUGUCCGAAACAAGUUCGAGUUGAAUCUCCGACGAAAAUCCCUAGUUCGCUGCCCCACACAAGGUAAAUUCUAUCCCGUCUAAUUAUAUUAUAGUUAGUUUUGCUAUUUUUUCUCUCGUUUGGGUUUGGUCGAUUGGUUGUGGAUAUGAAUAUUAAGUAAAGUGAUAUGUGGAUGCUUGAGUUUGUUCACGUUAAGCAGCGUGUUUGCAAAGUGUUAAUAAGUUGUAAUCUAGCUUGAGUAAAACUUAUGAAAUUUGAGUUUUUUUUUUCGAAUCAGGUGUUUUGUUUCAUUCUCUAGAACGCGAACUGGAACAGUUUCUUUUGCAUUGUUCGACCUCACAUAUAUUUGGUAGUGCGCUUUUAGACUCUUCGCGAUCUUGAACCAGCCCGGAACAAACACCCCAAAGCUGUGUGUUCGUCUGAAUCAUAUCCUGCGGACUGUUCGAGGUCGUUUUGUUGUUAGUUUGGUCUUCACUUUUAUGUGGUAAUGGUGUACUGUGUAGGCGUAUAGAUUGAACUAUAUCUCGCCCAUAUAUAUAUUUAGAUAGAUGAAUAUCCGACCUCUGUUUCAACCGUGUAAAAAAUGAAUAUAGAGUAUGGACUUUUCCAGUUGGUGAUGGAUUUCUUUGGAUUAGUAUAUUAUUUUGGGUUUAUUUCAAUGUUGUCUGCUUCAACGUCACAAUAGUGACUUAGAUGUGUUCCUGUUUAGCUCGUGUGUGCAUCAGGUCCUAGUAGCCUUGUUUUUGUCUGAAAAAUGUUUUUGAAUAGCUUUAAACUUACAUAUUUUUGGUUGUACAACAUGGAAUCCUUGAAACUUUCAUUUGAAAGCUGAAUACGACAUCGUGUUGGUAUUGUUUUAGGAUAGCCAUUCACUUUUUUUUACCUGCUAACUUAGAGUGUAAAGGGGCUUUACAUGUUUUAGAUUUUUGAAAUACGAUUCCUUAGUUUCUUAUAGAUCAUUGUGUUGUUGUUUUUUGUUUCAUAACAUAGACAUGAAACCAGUAACUUGACUCCUAGUUAUUUAAACAAGCAUGCAAGCUCACUGUUAAGCUAGAGUUAAAUUCAUUUUAGUCGCUUCUUACAUGGUCAAGUGUUGUAGAUACCUAUAUAUGUGUAGCCUAAGUAACUAGUAUAAAGAAUGACAUCAAUUUGGGGGUCUAAGUAGGGGCGAUCAGAUCAUAGCUAUUUAACUCUUGAAGAUUAUAUAUGGUUGAUUAAGGGCUGGCAUAUACUAAUCAUCUAGCUAAGUUAGUUGAGUUGGUUAACAAUUUUAGUACUAGCUCAUGUGUGUGACUAUUCUCUUUUGCCGUGGAAACUUUUUUUUUGUUUUAAGGUAUGUUUUAAACUAUUGAAAGGUGCAUUUACACAAGGAUCAGCUUAAAACUUGUCUCUCAUUUGAUUGUUACUGCUGAAAUUGAAAGGUUAGUUGGAAUCAGUAGUUAUCCCGGUUGUGAAAUAAGAUGAUAUUUCCCUUGUCUUGACGACCUCCUUUUUCAAAAAAAACAUAUCUUUUCAACAGUUAUAUGAGUUACUUCAUAGAUCCCAGGCCCGGGUCUUUUUAAUCUACAAAUGACAGGCAUUGACAUGAUAAGUUUAUUUUUGCAUAACUGUGGUUGUAAAGAUUCACUAUUCAUACUUCAAAUCUUCUUUCUCUCAAAUUUUUCUCAAACUUAAGUUGGAGAGCCUAUGUAUAUUACUGCACUCUUUAAAAAUGGCAAGAAAGGCUUGCCUUGUGGUCGAACCGUAAACUAGAAUUUGAGUAGUGAUCUCUCCCGAUAUGUUUGGUUUUAUUAGCAUAUGUACUUUCGAAUGACUACAUCAAAUAGAUAAUAAUUUCCUGUUACUAAGGCAUGGCUCUUUUCUUUGUUCCCUCUUCAUUAACAUGAUAGGUGCAACUACGUGCUUUAACAAUAGUAUUUUUAGCUUACAUAUUUCCCUGGUUUUCUCAUAUAUAGUAUUAUAUAUUUAUUUGUAUUAACGACCAGAAUAUAGGAGAACUUCUAUUUGAGCAGUGCGUGAGUAUAAACAUCAAUAUAUAAAAAGAAGGGCUGCACGGUCUCUUCACAGUUAAUAGAUGUCUAUCAUGAGUUUUCUCUCAUUACUCUAUUCCUGUGUUUUAAGACUUCAGGUCCUUUUUCUCCUUUAAACUUUGCAAAAUAUUGUUGUAUUGUCUAUGUGUUUCUCCCAAAAUGUUACUGGACAAUUUAUUUAGCUCUGGAAGUCUUAAGUUCUUUUUUUUUUUACAAAAAUGUGGAACUUUUGUCAUAUCCCUGUGCUGAAAAAUGGCAUUAAGAAUAGUUGGCCAAACUUGUUGAAAACAGUAGUUGUCAUUUUUUGAUGUUAUUGUGCAAUGCACUACUUGAAUUUAAAAAUGAAUAAAUAAAUAGCUUUAUAUUCAAUUUCUUUCCAUUUUUGUAUACGGUUCAAUAAAUGAAAGUGAGUUUUGGUUUUUGUUAUUGAAGUAUUGUGUUAAGUUGUUAACGAUGACAUGAUUCUUGAUACAAAGACACGGAGGUUGAGGAUUAGGCUAGAAGGUUAGUAAGGAAACUCGGAACAAUAUUUUUGUUUGUCUAUUAAAAGUCAUGUUGUAAGUUUUCAUGUGCUUUAGCGGUUAUGUUCAGUUGUUCAUUAAUUUUUUGUUUUGAUUCCAAUUCAUCGUCCAUGUAAAAGUAUUUUGUUUUAGUAAGCCUCCUAUGUUGAGACAUCUCAUUGAAGCUCUAUUCUAAAAUUCUUUCUAUGUAAUUUAGAUAUGAAGAUCUUAGAAAUAAUUUGCUGAAUAAGUUAGAGAUUUACUAUGAAUUUGUUUAGUCUUGAAUAUAUGAUAUACUGGUACUGGAAACUCUUAGAUUAGGAUAAGAUGGGGUUUCUCAAAUGUGCAAGUUAACUAGAUAUCUUAAUUUCGUAAGACUUAAUGUCAUUUGAUUAUUUUUAUUUUCUUUGAAUUCAUGUUCCAUGUGCUUAUUUGGUAGGGAUACAAUAGACCUAUUUUUGUUAUCAAGGACAGAAGGAAAGAACCCCUUUAAGCAUGGUAAAAAUCACGAUUUGAGAUUUUGUGCCAUAAAAAGGAGGAAAAAAGUAAGUUGUGUGAUUUGCUUUAAUUGUUUAAAGUUGUGUGAUUUGCUUUAAUUGUUUUUCAUUUGAAGGAUGUGCUCUUAUGCAUCUUGAUGUUGUCUUUUUCAUGAGGUCAUGAAUUAAUUUUAAAUUCAUGGGUGGUUUUGUUCCUCUUAGAAUAAUUUCCCUUGAUAAAGGAUAACCUGAAUGUAUUACAGUAUGUCAUUAGUGUAAAUUAGCAUAACACAUCAUAUUUGACUAAGUUCUUUCAUGAGCACGAUUCUACCUUCGUUUCGUUUUUGCAACUCACCAUUAAAAUAAAUGUUUGUCUAAUCUUGAUCUCCUUUUCCUUUCUUAUUUCACAUUUACAUUCGGGAGCGCAUUUGGAGUCUUAUGGCUUGACUCCAUCUCUGUCCAAAUUAGAGAAGCGAAUAAAUAUCAAAUCACAUAUUUUCAUCUAGCAGUCUAGUGUCUCUUUCUCAGCUUUAUUUUAUCUUUUGUACACGAGUAUUAUUAUUUUUGCUUAAUAUUUUGCGGAUUAUUAUUUAAAGUUUGUGUUUUAUAUGCUCUUAUUUGAAUUGGUGUGAUUCCUUAAGUUUUAGCAAACCUAUUUAUUUCCUUUCUACCUCUUAGAUUUUAAACUUAGCAUAAUCACUAGGCUUUGAUAUUUAGUUUAUGUCAUUAAAGGUUAAAACUUGAUAGGCGAUAGCAUAUUUUUUAGAAUAAGUGGUCUUAUCUUUAAAAUUUAACUUAGUUUCUCAUUAGUUGCUAAUGUCAAAUUAAUAAAAAAUAUAGGUUUUUGCGGUAUGCGAACUUAUCAUCACUAGACUCGGAAAUCGGCUUUACUAAUUUUGAAUAUGACAAAUCAAUUUUUUUUUAUUAAUUUUAAAUAAAAGAUGGCACUUCGCGAACCCCUUUUAGGAUUUCUAAUGAAUAAAAAAUAUUUUAUUUAUUUUUAGUCGUGUCGUAAUAGAUAAUAAAUUCUCAAGUCAUUAUGCAUUUAGAUAAUUAUAUAUUUUAUUUAGUCAUUUAGUGUAGGAUAAUUAACCUAUUUUUAUAAAGAUUGAUGAAGAAAAGCAAAAAUGUUUUUUUUUUUUUUUCAAAAAAGAGUGAAGUUCUUGAUAUAAUUAACUUUUUUUAAUUAUUAAUUGAAAGCUUUUGUAAGGAAUUAAUUUAAAAAUAACUUUUUCUUGAUAACAAUAAGGUUGAAUUAUUUUUAAGAGCUAUCUUUGAUAAUUUUUGAUAAGUGGGUAAAUUUUUCUAAAGUUUUUUUUUUUUUAAUCUUUCCUUACAAAUAAUUAGCAUGGUUUAAUAAAAUGUAUAUAUUUUUUGAUACAUUAUUUAUAUCUUUCUUAACAUAGCUUUUGAUUUUUUUGUCUAAUUUAAGUUUGAUCGGUUAACCGUAGUUAGCGGAUUCUUUAGGGUGUCGAAUCCCUUCCCUUUAGGAUAAUUAGAAUCCUUACUUAGAAUUUUAAGUUGCGUAGACUUUAAAAUGAAGUCUUUAUUUAUUUUAAUCACAUAGUUUAUAAUAGGUGUCCUAAUUCACCGUAGAACUAAUUAGGUGGCGAUUUUCUUAAAUUUAAAUCAGAAGUUUUUCAAUAUGUUGUACAUUAAUUUGGCCAAUGUUAAAAUGGGGUAUAACAAUGGUUUAGAUAGGAGAGAGUAAAUAUUUUGUAUUAUGAAAAGAUUGUUGUAUGCUUGUUUUAUUUUAGGCUAUAAGGUUUAAGGAAGAUUGAAGCAAAGCUUUUAGUAUUUGUCAUGGUUAGUUGUAAGAAAAUUUUGUGCGUGUCUUCUUAGGGAAAGUGCAUGAAAGUUGUUAUUGCUAGAAGUAUUAGAGAAUAUGAGAAAGAUGCUUUGGUGGAUUGUUUGCGUAGAAGUUCAUGUGUGGUUAUAAUGAUAGUCUUGAAUGUCAUGUUGGUAUAUAAGUGGAUGAAUGCAUUAUGUUUUAGUGAAUUCCUAGUAAGAGAUUGAAUUUAAUUGUUUUAGUGGUAAGAAGAAUUAUUCUUGAGAUGAGAGUUGUGAAACACGCAUGGGGUAUUGAAUUUGUGGUUUAUACUAGUACUAUGGUGUUAUGUGUUAUACCUUGUAAUUUUAUGCUAGGCUUGAACAUGGUAAGAGCAGGUAGUUCAACUCAAACAUUGGUUGGAGUGGUUAUAUGUGCACAUGUGAAAAUUAUAAGUUGAAUCAAAUGAGCAUAGUAUUUAAGGGGGAAAGUAUAGUUGAGGGAGUAUUUUAGAAGUGUGGCUAAGCUUGAAAGUUAGCUGUUGCAUUGCCUAAGGCUUAGUAAUUCCAUCCUAGCUUAUGUUUCAUAGGCCUAUGUUCCAUGUUAUAGGGUUGUAGCCAUGCUGUGAUUCCUUAUUUAGAUAUCUUAUUCAGACCAUGCCCAAGAUACUUUGCUCCCUAAUGUUAUUAGAACUUCUUAGAAAGAGUGGUGAAGAAAUACUCCAGUUGAGUAUAAGCUUUCAGUAUAAUUCAGUCUGUAUAGCUAGCAAAUCAGAUUAGCAAUCAAACGGAUAAGCUCCUAUGAUUUUUCAUCUUUCCAUCUAGUCUUACUAUCCGAAGUUUCAUGAAUAUGUCUAUUCCAUGAGGUAAUCUAUUCGCAUACAAGUAAGUUGCAAAUUUAGUUCAGUCCAUGCAUUAUGUUUCAGAUUCAGCUAUUUAGUCAUGACUCAGUUCAUAAGUGUUCAGUGUAUGAUCUCAAUUUUCCAAGUAUUCCAGCUCAUACAUUGUGAUACCCCUUGUACGACCUUGAUCUCUUUAUCUCAUGAUUCGUGAUUACAUAAUGUACUUGGCGAUGCCAUGAAGCCCUUUUCUUUUGAUUCCUAUACGUGUUUUGUUAAGGGACAAUUCCUAAUGAGAAACUAUAUACUUAAUUUCAUCCUUAGUAACUCCUGGAAUUUCAUUACAUCAGUUAUCACUUUGCAGUUCUAUAUGUAUGAUUGUAUCAUGAACAUCAUAAGUGAGUUCUAAACUCUCAACAUGAAUCACAUUUUUCUAGUUAAUAGAAUCAAGUCAGCUCAGAAAUCAGUUUCAUAAUAGAAGUUUUUAAUGUUUUAGCUCAGAUACAUACUUCAUUAAGUCUUCAUUAUUCCAUACUUCUAAGACUUCAACAAGUUCCUAUCCAUCAUUUGAGGACAAAUGAUUCCAAAGGGGAGAUAAUGUAAUACCCUACAUUUUUUAGCUAGACAUCGAACCGUCAUUUCUUUGUGUGUAAACUCUAAUCUCAUGAUUUGCUUUUGAAUACAUGUGUCAUGAUCAUUAUCCUAGUGUUAAGAGUGCUUAUGAGGUGAAAAUGUUCAUAGGAAUCACUUAGAGCAAAGUUGAGCGAAGAGCCUUUGAUUCGGUUGAUAUUUGAUUCUAUAAGGAUCAACUUUGAACGUGUAUAACUUUUGACAUAUUUUGAAUUUUGCAACCCAAUAUCCACCAAAUUAUAGAUAAUUGAAUUAUCUUUCCAGUGAUACCAAUUUUCCCUUAAUCUGAUGCCCGGGCAAAAUGUUAUGACCAUUUUUGUGAGAAACAGUAAGCCUCCGCAAUAGGAUCACAUCACGAGGGUUGUUCCUCGGGAAUGGAGGUUGUAUUGCGAGGGCUGUUCCCUGGGAAUAGGGGUCGAGCCAUGAGGGCUAUUCCCUCACUAUUCAAGCUUCUUAAAGGGUCAGGGGCUCCUCAACCCAAUUCAUCCAAAACACGAUCUAGGACACUCAAAAGGGCAUUAUUUGCCCAUUACCCUCAAAAUAUCACACGUAGAAACCCUUCCCCUUCCAAAGAAAGAGAAAUUCAAGCCUCUCUUCCCAAGAAUAAGAAAUUCAAGUUUUCUUCCUCAAGAAUUCACGGAUUUAAGUUCUAAUUACAAGUUUUCCUUCAAGAAUUCAUCCAAUUAAGGUAUGUGGGAUAUUCAUUAAUGGGUCUCUUUCACCCAUUGAGCCCAAAAAUCCUCCCUUUGGUUAAAAUAUAGGUUUUUCCUUCAUUAUGGAAUUUCAUAUGUUCAAGAUGAGUUUAAUUCGUGAUUUUCCUUAGUAAAUUGAAUUCAAUCCAUGUCUACACAUGAUCUAAUGAAAAUUUGGUUAUUUUAUGUUUUGAAUUUCAAUUUCCUAUGUCAUAUUCAAGUGACUUCAUGUUACAAUAUCAAUUUAUGUAUUAAACCAUGUAAAUAUGUUGUCCUCUUAUGUUCAAAUUCAUGCUUCUCACCUAUAUGUUAAAAUGUCUAAUGUUUUUAGGUCUUUGAAUUAUGAUUCCAUACCACUAUUUUAAGAAUUGUUAUCGUAUUUUUUUAAUCAUUCAGUGCUAGCGGGUGAUGAAAACCCAAUACCUAUGUGUCUUUACAUGAUUUUUGUUUACAAGAAAUAAACCAAUCAAACCAUGAUUUUUACUACCAUCUUCAAAAUAUAAUAUUCAUGCUAAGCAUUUAUAAGUACCGUACUAUGUCAUGUUAAACAACUAAUAAUACCAAAGUCUUUCAGUUGCGAGUAACACUUGGCGCCGAGCGAACACAGGGAUGACAACUACCCCGUCAGUAGAGGCAUGAGUCAUUAGUAGCAGUUCCUAAGUUCCAGACCCACGACACCACUAUAGAUUAUGCGGGGUCCCUCGUCAGUAGAGGCAUGACACCUUCGUCCUUCGAGACAUCAUCCUUGUGGAUCCACAUAAGCAUUAAUGUGUUGGUACCCCAGGUAAGGUACCAGUACCCUUCUAACUAAGUUAUAGGUUGGACCUCGAUAACUCAGAUUGGGGCAUGUCAGUUAUAGCUAUCUCCCACAUUCUCAGUAUAGUAUUCAGAGUGUGUCAGUUCAGGUUUGCAUGACCGAGUAUUCAGACAUCAAUUAUUCAGUUAUUCAAAUCAUGUCGGUACAUGUUUAUGCUUGGUCUUGCAUUUUCAGUUUUACAUGUUCAUGUUUUUCAUGUUCAGUAUCCAUACAUGAUCUUCAGUUUAAUUUUACAGCAUGUUCAGCUAUACAUGAGAUGUACAUACAAUAUUCAUGUUUUACUGCUUUUCAGUUUCAGUUCUACUUAUUCUAUAAAAGUAAAGAUUUAAGAAACUAAGUGUAGUGAUUCACCAACUUAUUAGAUUAUGUUUGUUACUCAUGUUUUAAGAUACUUCAACUAUUCAAUUGGUUUCAAUCUCUUGAUGAAUCUACUUGCACUUAGCAUACAUGUUUUAAGAUUUUGUAUCUAUUCAGUUUUACUUAUUGCAUUCACCCCCACUUACUCAGUACAUUCUAAAAGUACUGACCACAUAUACAUCUGUGUGGCUACAUUAUUUCAUAAUGUAGGUAUCAGGAGUAGUCAAUACAUCAUUAUUUUACAGUUCUCAGUUUUCAGCUAACAGGUGAUGAGUUCUCCUAUUUUGGGAACUCCGGUCAGUUGUAGUUUUUGUACUAUAUUCUUGUUAUUCGUAUGUAUUGAUUAGUGGUAGUUGGAGGAAUGUCCCAGCUAUCUAUAGUCAGCAUAGUAGAGGCUUCAUAGAUAUUCAGUCAGAGUCAUAAUAUGUAAUUCAAGUUUCUUUCUUCAGUUUUAUCAUGUUGUAAACUUUAUAAGUAUUACAUUUAUUCAGAAUUUCUCAUGAUCAUGUUUCGCUCAGUAAAUUUAGUUUUUAUACAAUUUAAAUCAGUUGCUCAAGCAGUAUGUCAUUACAUGGGUUAUCUUGGGAUUACUUGUGAUUCUAAGCACCGUGUUACGAUUAGGGGUAGCCUUAGGUCGUAACAAAGAGUAAUGUUUUUUCUUUGUGUUCUUGAGAGUGCUUAGGUAGAGUUAACUAAGUUUGAUACUAGUUAGAGUAAAUUAAUAGUAGGUGGGUUCUUGGUAAAGUUGUCACGGUGGGUUUGUAAUAGAGUUAUUGCAAACUUGUAACGACCCGAAAUCUCCUCCCGGGAUGUCACACGGUUUUAAGACUACAAGUAGCCCCAAGCUAACCCUUUGAGCCUGUUACUACGUAUAAUAACUCAUUUCAAGAUGAAAUAAACAAAACACUGGCACUGUCAGAUCAAACGAUGAGGAAUACAGAGAAAAUACUCGGUCCAAACGACCACAAUACUGGAAAGCUCAACAUACUAACAAUCUGAUAACUAGUCUGGCAAAGUCUUUACUAUUCCAUGAACUAGAGAGCCAUUGGGACAAGGUCCCCAACUGAGUCAAACUGAAUUGAAAGCAAUAACAUAUCUACUAAAAUACUGAAAUGUCUGAAGGUAGGUCUUUGAACCAUGAGGACUCACCACUGUGGAGAUGUAGACAAAGGUACUCGAAAAUCACUGACAAGGCUGGGAUUGAACACCUGAACCUACAUUAUAAGACAAUGUAGCACACAAACGUAUAUGUGGAUCAACACUUGGGAAUGUACUGAGUAUAUGGGGGUGUAUGCAUUUACAUAAAACAAUAUCAAUACUCUUUAAUCAAAUCAUGCAUGCAGUAGUAAUGACUCACAUAUCUUGAAUAAGUCUGAAAUGUAAAUCUUUUAAAUCAUGUAUAAUGAAGCAUGUAACAUAAAUCUCAUGAGUCAUUAUACUUUAGCUUUAAAAUCUGUACUCUCCUCUUAUUGUCAUUACUCGUAGACUGAAGGAAGCUUUAAACAAUACUUUCAAACUCAUGCAUAUAUCUCAUGGAGAGUAAAACUUCUUUAAUGCUCAAGAACUUAGAACUCUUUUAAACUCAAGACACUUGGAACUCGAGAUUAUAUAACUUUGGUUUAAAAAUUGAUUAUUAACUCUUACUAGUAGACAAAACUACUUUCUUUUUGGGAAAAUUUUACUUCAAGAAACUAUUCUGAAAAAUCUUACUAUUAGGGGAAAAAUACUCAAAAGCUGUUUAUUUACUUAUUACUAGCAGAGAGUUUCUCUUGAACGACAUAAACCAUGCGAGCUACAUGGAGUCCAAUGUCUUAUCCUCCUAAGAAAGAAACCUCACGUUGGUGAGAGGCAUCAUACUCUUGCUAGGGAGUAUAACCUCAACUCAGUAAUCACUUAUCUCGGCCUCGGGCCCAUAAAUCUUAAUCCUACGAUGGCACGUAGUUCUGGGGUAAGGAAUCGUAGUAACUUACCCAACUCGGUGCUAAAUACUACUCCCUUUAGUUAGCUACGCUCAUCUCAUGGAAAUCCACUUUAAAAAUAAUCUUAUGGUUCAUCAAGAACCCAACUAUAAAAUCUGAGAUCUCAUGUAGUAAAGUGGAUUUCAAAGCUACUAUGAUAUGACCAUUGAGGUCAAAGCUUUCUCAAUAAUCUCAGAAUACUCAAAUCAUGGGUGCUUAUAGCACAAAAGUUCAUAAAGAUUGAAAUCUCAAGUAGGGCUCAAUGACCCAUAAUUCAAUCUCAAGUUUAAGCUCAUCAAAAUGCAUACUAGACAUCAUAAAAAUUCGUAAAUCAUAUAGAAAUCUGGAAAUUCUCAGCAAUUUGUCUUAAAAUCUCAAUAUACUCAUGUACUUCAAUUUCUAGAGCACUAAAACUAGUAAAUUCUCAAGGAGUAACAACAUAGGGUAUAAACCCAGCUUCAAUUUCUUAAGAAAACAUGUAAAAUCAUGUUAUUUGACUUUUAAUACAUGGAAAACAUCAAGAAUUGCAACCAAUAACAAUGGGUGAAAAACCUUAAUUCAAUUUCAUGUAAAAUCUCAUAAAUUGCAGAAAAUUUGUAGUUUAAAAUAAGCCUUUGGGCAAGAGGGUGAAAGGAUUACCCUAUUUCAAAAUCCCACUUACCUUAGAUUAUGAAAUUGGAUGAACAAGCUUGCUUUAAGCUCUUCUUCUUACUCUUGAGAGAGGGUUCUUGCAACCCUUGACUUGGGGAACUUGAUUCUCAAUUCAAUUUGUGAAAGCUAUGGUGAAUUCUUGAAUUUCUUGGAGAAGGAAAUUUGGGUUUGUUCUUGAGGAAGAAACCCUAGCUCUUUGAUGUUUGGAUGAUGAAUGAAGCCAUCUGCUUUGUUUUGGAUAUAUCAGGGUGUUAAAAGAGUGGGAAAAGAUCGAAAAGCCCUUUUUAAAAUGACUUAAAAUUACUGAUCGGGAUGUGCGAUAGUGGGGUGCGACGGUCUGUCUGAGGGCCGAUGGUCUGUCGGUCCUGACCGUCGUACAUAAGCCAGAAUCCUACUUUCUGUCUCGACUGCGACGGUCUGUCGGACCUCUCCUUCGCACUUGGCCAGUGAGUCGAUCUUCUGCCUCAUUGCGACAGUCCGUCGGCUCUCUCCGUCGGACCUGGGCAAUUCCACUGCUUUCUGAAAAAAGGCUAUAUUUUUCUACUCCAAUAUCGGAUUUUGACGAAACGGGUAUCGUUGGAAAGAUAACUCAAUUUCCCACAUAAUAGGAAGUCAUUUUCAGGAAAAUUCAACAAGAUUAAAACACUAAUCACUUGGGAAGUCUCUUCUUAAUCUUUUAGGGCCGGAAUUAUACUUCACUUGACACGCUCUAAGGCUUAGACUACGAGGAAACUUUGCGGGGUCUUACAAAAUUGGUGGAGCGUAGAGUUAAGUUCCCAUUGAGUUUGUAAUCAAGAGUUUGAUUAUAGUGAAUUAUUGAGUGUUUGUGAGGAUGAGCCAUGUGUUUUCCUUCUUUGAGCAAAGAGGUUUUCACAUUAAAUCUGUGUUCUUUAGUUUUUAACAAAGUUUUUGUUUCCUACUAUUUUACUACUUGAUUGUCUUUGACUGACUCUAAGGGACCUGGUCCCUCAUAGUGUGGUGCAACCCCCCACGUUUCAACAAUUGAUAUCAGAGCGAGGGCACUCUAAAAGGUACAUACCGAGAGUGAUUUAUUAAGCAUGGUUGCUCCACCUAAUCUGGAAAAAGAACAAUUUACUACUAGACCACCCACUUUAAUAGGCACCAAGAUAUAUAACUUCAUUAUGGUUGAGGACAGUAAGUUGGUGGAUGUAAUACUUGAUGGUUCUCAUAUCCCUGUUAUAGAGGCAAAAGAAGGAUAUAUAACAAGGAUAGUUGUCAAAACUAGGAGAGAGUUCGAUGAUGAAGAUCGAAAGAAAGUUGAGAAGAAUUUUAAGGCCAAAAAACCACUAAUCUGUAGCAUAGGACCUGAUGAAUACAAUCAGAUUUUUGCUUGUGAAAAUGGAAAGAAAAUUUAGGAUUGCUUGAGGACGACUCAUGAAGGAACCACAGAUGUGAAGGAUUCUAAAGUUGACAUGCUGACUACUCAAUAUGAAACCUUCACCAUAAAAUAAGGAGAGACAAUUGAAGAAAUGCAUACAAGAUUCACUUUUUUCAUAAAUGAGCUACACUGCUUAGGAAAGGUGAUUCCUUUGUAUAAGCAAGUGAGAAAAAUUCUAAGUGUUCUUCCCAAGUCCCAGGAAAGCAAAGUGGAUGCUAUUAUUGAGGCAAGAAACCUGAAGACUCUUACUAUGGAUGAACUUAUUGGUAAUUGAAAGACUCACGAGCUCAAGAAGCAGUAAGGACAAGAGAAGAAGGAAGCAAAAAGGGAAAAAUCUUUGCCACUGAAGGCUUCAAAAUCUGAUUUAAAUGAAUAAGACACUAAUGUUGCCUAUUUGGCAAAGAGAAUUGUUAGAUGUGAAGAAAAGUGGUCAGUUUCCAAGAAAAGAAAGUAACAGCAAAAAGGGUGGCAAUGUUGAAGUUUGUUACAAAUGUGGAAGUCCUGAGCAUUUCAUUAAGGAUUGUCCAAUGCAAAAAAUGGAUUAUCAGGAAUAUAUCAAGACUGGAGGUGACAAAGUAAAGAACAGGGACUGAGUCCUUGCAAAAUCAAGAAGAAAGGUUACAGCUGAGUAUGCAGUGAGACAGGCCCUAGCAGUGUGGGGAGAUUUCCCCAGUGAAUCUGGUGAAGCUGAGAAGGCUAAAGAUGUGUCUAUGCUAGUUUUGGAGGAGUGUGAAUUUACCUAUGAUUCCUUGUUUGCUCUCAUGGCAAACACUGAAGAUGAAGAAGAAAAUAAAGUAACUCUCUUUGACAUUAAGGAAAAUUUAGAUAACUACUCUGCUAGAAAGAUAAAAAAGCUAGCAAAUAUGUUGAUUAAUUCUGUGCAUGAACUGACUACUGAGAAAAAUGCUAUAAAAGAGAAAGUAGAGAAUCAGGAGCUUGAAUUAAUUGUUUUAAUUCUCUAGAUAUCUGAACUAGGAGAACACUAUGCUAAAUUGAAAUCUGAUAAUCUGAGUUUAUUGAGUCAACUAAAAAAAAGUAAAGGAUUUUGAUGAUAAAGGAAAGAAAGAAACUUCAAAGCUUCAGAUUGAUCUUGAAGAUAAAUUAAGGGAUUCUCAAAAUCACCUUAUAACUUUCCUUCACAAGAAUGAAGAGUUAGAAAGGGACCCGGUCCGUCUAAGGAAAGAACUUAACAAAUCACUAAAAUGGACCACAUCCUCACAAAUCCUUUCUAAUCUAAUUGGUCAAAGUGUCAAUAAUGGUAAAGGGCUUGGAUAUCAGUACAAGACCCAAUCACUUGGGUCUCAUGGAAAAGUUGUUCAUGGUAUUAGAAAUAGGGCCUACAAACCUCUAUGUACUCAUUGUGGAAAAGAUGGACACUUGAAGAAACACUGACAGUAUUGGCUUAGAGCUAGAAUGAGUUGUGCUAAUUAUAUCUAGUAGGAGAAUUGUUAUCUUAAGGGUUUCAUGUCCUUGAAAAAUAUGAAAAAGAGUUCUCUACCUAGAUGGACCAAGAAAGAUUUGAUCACACCUUUGUCAUCCUAUUGGGAACUCAAACUCAAGUGGGUUCCCCAAUCUAACAAAUGACUAUGUUUGCAGGUAAGACGAGGGGAAUGCAGUCCGAACUGGUUCAUGAAUAGUAGAUGUUUAAAGCAUAUGACAGGGCAGACUGAUUUUUUUCUUUCUCUCAAGACACUUCAAGGUAGAGGUAUCUCUUUUUGAAAUGAUAAAAAGGGUUAUAUUUAUGGUGUGGGAAGGAUUGGAAAAUCAUCUGAUCAAGAAAUAAAAGAUGCGUACUAUGUGAAUGGCCUUAAAUACAGUCUUCUAAGUGUUUCUCAAAUUUGUGACAAAGGCAUUGAGGUCAAAUUCUCAGCUGAUGGAUGUACUGUGUCAAGCUUAAAAUAUGGGAAAGUUAUUCUCAAAGCUAAGAGAAUAAAAAUAUGUAUGUGGUUGAUUUGGAGUCUGUGGCUGAUAGGGAAUUAACUUGCUUAAGUGUUCAAAGUAAAGAUGUUGAUUUAUGGCACGGAAGGCUGGGACAUGUAAGUUCCUCUUUACUGAACAAGCUGAUUUCAAGGGACCUGGUCUGUGGCAUGCCAAAGCUGAAAUUUCCAGAAAAUAAGUAAGUUUUUCUCCUGCCUUUCCAAAGCCAAACUCCUUCUUCACUCAACUCGUUUAUAAAGAUUUAUCCCUGAAGCUUCAUAACCUUUCUGGUAGUAUUUGAUGGAUGAUGCAUGGAUUGUUGAAAAUCUCAUCUUGCUAUCAAAUAGUUCAAGAAAGAGCAUUUUUGGUCCCAAGAAACAAAAUGUCAGUAAGAUAACAAAAAACCCUGGAGAGAAGUCUAGAAGUUCUACUGAGAAGAAGCAGACUUAUGAAGGACCUAGUUCUAAGAAAAGGAAAAUGACUGAAAGAGAACCUAUCAGUGUUUCUAAAUAUGGAAAACUGGAGAAAUAAGGAAACUUUGAGACUAAAGAAGUAAGAAACAGAUUCUUGAGAAAUCAAAAGGUGUUAACUGAGAGGAUCUUUAACUCAAGUGUUUUAUCGAAACCAGGUAUGAUAGAAUUAGUUGAGCUGGUUAAACAUCAAAGAUGGCUCCAUCUUAUGGAAGGAUCCAUUCCCACAGUCUUUGAUGAGGUAGUUAAGGAGUUCUACUCCACAUUGGAUUUUUUUGAUGACUAUUGUAGUUCAAGGAAAGAAGUUGAAUCUUGAUGCUUGUUACUUGAGAAAAUUUUGGAUGUUUCUAUCAGUGGUGUGAGGACUGUCUCAAAAUAACAACCCUCAAUAGAGUUCAUGGCAAAUGUAUGAUAGGUUAAAGAAAAAUCUGUAGCUGCACUAAAUAAGAAAUCACUCAAAAGUGAGGUUUAAUUAGUCUUUGAUUUUGUUAUCAAAGUGAUUCUGCCUAGAUCACAAAAGAGGAACAUUACUUCAACUACUGAUUUGUAUGUGAUGGAGUGUCUUAUCAGUUUUGAGUUUAUUUGUUUACCUGCUUUAAUGAUGGAGCACAUGCAUAAAGUCGUUCAUGUGAAAAAUGGAAAACAUGGCAAUGCCUUAUGGAUAUUGGUUGAACAGAGUGUUUGAUUAUUUUGAUAUUGUCUGUGAAAAUGAAACUCCUGAAACUGUGAUACAAUUAUUUGCUAUGAAGAAUUUGAUCAAAGUUGAAUGUGUGGAAAAUAAAUCAGGCAACAUCUCUCAAGAGGAGCUCGGCAAAGAAAUAGAGGAAUUGAAACUUAACUUAGUUGCUAAGAAUGAAGAGAUUAGCAAAUUGCAAAUGAUAAUUCAGCAUCUUUCUGAUAAAGAUCCAAGUGACUCUGAAGAGGUUAAAACUGAGAAUGCUGAACUAAAAAAGAGAGUUUCAUCUCUAACGCAUGAGGUUCUUAUCUUGAAUGUAGAGAUAAGGUAUCUAACCAAGGAAUUGCUACACUGUCAUGCUACAGAAAAAAAUAAUAUGGCUCUACUUCUCCAAACCCUCUUCCCAAGUCCUUCACCUGUUUAAAUUUUCUUAAUUCCUGUGGUUUUUUCAUUUAAAUUAUGCACUUCAAUGAUACUUUUACAUAUGAAUUAAUCUUAGUUUGUGUGUUUCAUCUAUCUCUUCCUUAAUUUUAAAGUUGUUCUUCAUGUUAGUGUUUUUCCAAUGACCAUAAGUUAACUAAAUUAUGCUUAUUUUACUUUUGGUUUACUAUUAUCAUUUUUUAAUAAUGCCAAAAAGGGGAAUACUGAAUUCAUUUGGUAGGGACUAGGUGAUGUGUGUUGCAUGAUGAUGUGUUAGGGACUAGGUACCAAGCAGGUACAUAUGUGUUAAAUGUUGGUGAAGUAUGAUGAGUAUUGAUAGGGGAAAGAUUAUUUGAAGGAUGGCAUAGUGACAGGGGGGAGAAUACUGGCAAUGCAUGAUGGCAAAUUGAUAGGGCGAAUCAUGGUGCAUAAUGAUAGGGGGAAUAUUCAUCAUCAGUAGUGAUAAUCACUCUAAGUAAUGAGAUGAAUGAACAUUGAUGCUCAAAAAUCUGUGGUUAGUUUGUCAUCAUCAAAAAUGGGGGAAAUUGUUAUAUCUUAUUUUAAUGAUGAUCCGCUAAUAUAAAAAAAUCAGGUCCCUGGGUCUUCAUGAGUUCAGUACAGUUGUCACUAUCCUGUGCAGCUUUGUCUAUUAGUGUAACAAACUACACAGGUGAGAUUGUACCUUUCAGGAUACCUGGCCCAAUCACAUUUGUACCUGUAAUACCCUAAAGUUUUCUAACUAAUUUCAUCCCAAAAAUGUCAAGUAUUAGUUUCUAAAUUGAAUGAUGUUUAUUCCAUGGGGAAUUUUCUUGAUAUUCACUUUUAGUUAUGUGGGAAAUUCAAUAAGCUUUCCAUCGAUAUAAGAUUCACCCAAAUUCGAUAACCGGGUAAGAAAUUAUGACUAUUUCAAGUUUCAGUCGUAAAACACCAUCAUCUCAGUCAGUGACGUGUCGCGCCAUAAGCCAAAAUGACAUUUGUCAAUUUCCAGUAAGACUCCGCAAUUUUACCGCAUCGCGAAGGACUCCCAAAUCCCAAUUGUCAAAUUCUAGUGAAGCCCCGUGAUAGUGCCGCGUCGCGCAAGGGGUCCAGGUCGGGAAAUUUUCACAAAAAUUAAAAGGGUUCCAAAAGGGUCUUGGUACCCAAGUUCAUCUCAGCACAACCUUUUAUACUCAGACAGAUGGUCAAGCAGUAAGGACCAUUCAGACCCUAGAAGAUAUACUAAAGGCGUGUGCAUUUGAUUUCAAGGGUAGUUGGGAUGACCACUUGCCUUUGAUUGAGUUUGCAUACAAUAAUAGCUAUCAUUCCAGUAUUAAGAUGGCUCUAUUCGAAGCUCUCUAUGGUAGGAGGUGCAAAUCUCCAGUCGGUUGGUUCGAAGUUAGUGAGGCUUUAGUUAUAGGGCCUGACUUAGUAUUCGAUGCCUUAGAAAAAGUCCAGUUGAUCAGAGAAAGACUCUGGGCUGCUCAGAGCCGACAGAAGUGUUAUGUAGAUGUGCAUAAAAAGGACCUCGAGUUCGAGGUUAGUGACUAUGUCUAUCUAAAGAUCUUUCCCAUGAAGGGAGUGAAGAGAUUCGGCAAAAAGGGAAAGCUCAGUCCCCAAUAUGUCGAUCCCUUCAAGAUUCUCAGUUGCUUCGGCAAGGUAGCUUAUGAGCUCGAGUUGCCUUCAGAUCUAGCCUCAGUUCAUCCAGUCUUCCAUGUCUCUUUGCUCAAGAAGUGUAUAGGUGACCCAGCAGUUGUAGUCCCUAUUCAGAGCAUAGAUAUUCAGAACAACCUUUCUUAUGAAGAGAUUCCGAUCGAAAUCCUAGAAUAUCAGACUCGUAGACUAAGGAACAAAGAAGUCCCUCUAGUCAAAGUUCUUUGGCGGAAUCAAUCCGUUGAGGGAGCUACUUGGGAAGUAGAAGCAGACAUGCGUACCAAGUAUCCUCACCUUUUCUCCGCUAACUCAGAUCAAGCUCAAGGUAAUAGUUCUCCUUAAGUUUUUCAGUUUUCAUGUCUAGAUUUCAAUUAUAACUUGGUAUCAAUUUCAUGUUCAGAAUUCUAUUUUAAACUUGGUACUAAGUACCAUUGCAUAUUCAAUCAUAUAUUAAUGCAUCAGACAUGCAUUCUCCUAGUGAGAAAUUCAAUUAUCAGAAAUCUCAGUUAUGUGUUCAUGAGUCAGUUAAGUCAUGAAAUCAUGCAUCAGAUAUGCAUGCUCAGUAUAAAUCUCAGAAAUGUCAGUUAUGUUUCAGUUGUUCAUGUUCAAUAUAUACUUAAGCUCAACGUUUCUCCCAUCUCAGUCAGUCACAUUCGAGGACAAAUAUUCCUAAGAGGGAGAUAUUGUAAUACCCCGAAGUUUCCUAACUAAUUUCGUCCCAAGAAUGUCAAGUAUUAGCUUCUAAAUUGAAUGAUGUUUAUUCCAUGGGAAAUUUUUCAAGAUUUUCACUUUUAGUUAUGUGAGAAAUUCAAUAAGCUUUUCAUCGAUAUAAGAUUCGCCCAAAUCCGAUAAUCGGGUAAGAAGUUAUGAUUAUUUCAAGUUUCAGUUGUAAAACACCACCAUCUCAGUCAGUGGCGCGUCGCGCCAUAAGCCAAAAUGACAUUUGUCAAUUUCCAGUAAGACUCCGCGAUUUCACCGCGUCGCGGAGGGCUCCCAAAUUCCAAUUGUCAAAUUUCAGUGAAGCUCCGCGAUAGCGGCGCAUUGCGCCAAGGGUCCAGGUCGGGAAAUUUUCACAAAAAUUAAAAGACGCGUCCAGGGUUAAAUGGGUCUUUUCCCAUGAUUUUAGUUCAGCCUUAAAAAAGAAAUUUAACCUUACAUGACUUAAGGACAUCAUUAUUCACUCUAUUUUCCCUAAUUUCUUCAUACUCUCUCAAAGCCAAGAAACCCUAAUCUUAAAAAUUCAAGGGCAAGGAUCAAGAAUCUCUCCAAGGAUCUUUACGGAGUUACAUUCUAAGGUAUGCAUAGUAUUCAUUCAUGGAUUCCUUUCAUCCAUGAAGCCCCAGAACCAAGUUUUAAAUCAUGUAUUAUGAAUACUAUGUUGUGGGUUUAUUAUGUUUAUGUGAUUGUUGUCGUAUGAUUCCCAAGUUGGAAAUCUUUAUGUGUUUUAUGAAAUUACGUUAGUAUAUGAGUUUAAAUCCCUGAAUUGAGUGGUUUAUGAUGUGUUAAUUGAUGAUUAUACCUAUGCCCUAAGUGGUGCAUGUAAGGUGUUUGAUAAAAUGCCUAGAAGACUAGAAAUCAUGUAUUAUAGAUCAAUUGUGACCUAAGUGAUGGAUUCAUGUUUUACCUUUAUGUUCAAAUGACUUCCAUGCUAUUAACAUGCCUUGUAAAUGUUGUUGGAUUGCUCAUGAAUUAGCCUUAUGAAAUUAUGUCAUGUUCACAUGCAAUCCUAUUCAUGUACAAGCUUAUGAUAACCAUGUACUUCAUGAAAUCCCCAACUUAUUGUAUUAUGGAUUGUUGAUGAUUGAUCAUGUAUUCAAGAAUGCCAUGCCUUGUCAGUUUCCUUCUAUCAAGUCCUAGGGGUACUUGUACCUGACAAGUUAGCUGUGUGCCUAGAGCCAGUGUCAUGUUUUCAUGAUAUCCUCAGUUAGCUGUGUGCCUAGAACCAGUGUCAUGUUUUCAUGAUAUCCUCAGUCAAGCUAUGAUCCAUAGAACUCAGUCAGUCAUGUGACUCAGGAAAGCUCAGUAAUCUAGUAAUCUCAGUACUAUUCCGUCAGUCAACGAAACUCAGUUAAUUCAGUCCAGUUUAGUUCAGUAAUCCAUGUUCAGUGUCUAUUUAGAUGGGAGUAGGAAUUAGCACCGAGUAAAUCCAAUGAUGGGAACACACACUGUCAAAUAAGGGUAUGAUUCUUAGAAGUCAUCUUUGCGUUUCAGAACUAUGUACCAGCAUAGGUUGAGACAUCAACACUGUCAGAUGAGGGUUGAUGAGGUGGAUAAACACUGUCAGAUGAGGGUCCCACCGUUCUCUUUUGGGGACACAGUCAGAUAAGGGUCACCCACAGCUUAUCUUGGUGCGGUAUUAACACCCUUCCAAUUGGGGUGAUAGAUUGGAUCCCAACUCAGCGAUAAUGGCGUAUUAGGGUCAUGUCAGUUAGAUGAAAACUUCCCACAGUUUUAGUUACAGAAUCAGGACUGUCAGAUACAAUUAUUCAGUCUCAGUAAUAGAACUCAGAUAGUUCUACAGAAUUCAGGACUUUCAUAUACAUUUAACCCAGAACAUUGCGAAACUCAGCUAGUUCCAUCAGAACUUACACUGUCAGAUACAGUCGCUCAGUAUCAGUUAUGUCAGUUAAUAGUAGUUUAUGUUAUCACGAUCUCAGUUACAGUCUAUGUAUUCAUGCAUGCAUUCUCACUUUCAUGUUAUACAGUUAGUUAGUUCAGUUCAUACAUAUGUACCCUUCGCAUUCAGCCUACCUCACAUGCAUACCAGUACAUUCAAUCGAACUGACGCAUUUGCGUUAUGGUGUUUUGUACCAUAGGUUCAGAAGCACGAGCUCCAAAGCAUCAGUAGCAGCCAGAUUUAGCAGUGAGUCCUCAUCAUUUGAGGACAUGAUCAUUAUUUUAUCAUUUUCAUACUUAGUUUAUUUCAGUAGAUGAAGUUAGUUGGGGACAUGUCCCAUCAACUCCUUAUUCAAACAGAUAAAGGCUUUUCAGACUAUCAUGUUUAGGCAGUUUAUUUCAGUUGUUUUGGGUGUUUCAUACCCCAUCCAGAUGUUAUGUUACAUUUUUGAACCUUACGGCCUUACAACCUUUAUUUUCGCAUUAUACAGUAUAUUUUUGCAGUGUUUAGGUACAGAUAUCAGUCAUAGAUUUUCUUGUGCUCCCUCAGGGUUAUGAGCACCGUGUUAUAUUUUGGGUACCAGAUUCGGGGCAUUACAGUACCCUACUCAUUGUCCAGCUAAAAAUAGAAAAGAAUGCUCCUCAAAUUAUCAGUUUUUGCAACCUGAUUAUUCAAAGAGAGAAAUCAGUGAAAAGUGAAAUAUUGCUCAAGUCCCAAUCUUUGUGUACUGAGAAAGUGUGUGGUCUUGAGUCAAGUUGGGGUUUGUAAUUGAAUUACUCGUGUUAUAAGAGUAAUGCUUUUUUUGUGUUCUUGAGUGUGCCUAGGUAGAGUUACCUGAGUUUGAUAUUGGUUAGAGUUAAUCAAUAUUAGGUGAGUUUUUGGCAGAGUUGUCAAGGUUGGUUUGUAAUAGAGUUAUUGCAAACUGGUGGAGCUUAGAGUUAUGUUCUCAUUGAGUCUGCAAUCAAGAGUUUGAUUAUAGUGGAUUGUUGAGUGCUUGUGAG
Molecule: long non-coding RNA, 21544 nt
Filed under: Capsicum annuum
Lineage: Eukaryota; Viridiplantae; Streptophyta; Magnoliopsida; Solanales; Solanaceae
Description: long non-coding RNA (CANN_LNC001252)
Source: RNAcentral